CUGUGCGGGCUUGGUAGGGUCUGGAUGGAAACAGAAGAGGAUGUUCAGGUGGGCGAGAGCUGCAGAAUUGCCUGGGAGAGGUCUGAGGUGGAAUGCGUAGAUACUGCUGGGAUAUUCGGUGAGAAGGCUGGCCGACAUUGUUUGUGGAGAGCCUAGGGAUUUAGAUUUUAAGUAAGGCAGUAGGAAAUGGAGCAACGCUGACCAUCUUCCUCCUGCCACAUCAUUCCCUCCAUAGAGGAUGACCUCAUCUCUUGGCAGUGCUGGGCCGUCGCGGUGCCCUGUGGCCUGGUACACAUGCCAUAUAGCCUGGUGAGGGCUUGAGAGGUCAUUCUGGCUUGCUGCUCAGGUUCCGGGUCUCCUGGGCCCCUAGGAUCAGGGGGUCAUGAUGAGUCCUAGGGAUGGGCAUGGGCUACAGGUUUACCUGAGGACACUGCAAUGCAAGGGCAUAAGGAAGCAUGGCAGAGCCCCCACCUGUCCUGUUUAUCCUGCACUGUCCUCCAUCCCACCCUGAGCCAGAUAUACAGACAUAAAGGAACACUAAAGGAAAGCCCCCUUACCACUCCCAAACCCACCAAGACUAAAACUGAAAAGAAAAAAUUAAAUUUAACCACUUGCCAGUGUUUUCAAGUGCUUCCUGUGCCCCUAAAGCAUUUUGUGCUGUAACUCUCUGGUGGAGCACGAGGACACACACUGGAAGCCCCCCCAACACUGCUAGUCCCUCUGGGAGCUCCCAUGCUGUGUCAUCAUCACACUCCUGUGCACCCCCACACAAAAAUCUCAUGGUGCUCCUGAUGGUUACACAUGAAGAGGCUGGAGAAAGCGAAUUCACUCACGACAAUUCAUCUGUGAGGAGUCAGGCUGAAUUCAAGAAGCGGAAGCUGCCCUUUUUAGCCUCCCAAGUUGAGCAGGCCCCCUGCUCUCCAGGGUGCCCGCUCUCAGGGGGUGCCUGGACACCUGCCUCCACACACACAGGCCAGCUAGUGUUGACUGGGGGCCAGCCCAGUAGCCUUCCUCAAGAAGGCAAGAGCUGCCCUGCUUUCCCCAGGUGAGAAGUGGAUGACUUAGGGAAGCUCUCUGUACAUCUCCACCCAGAUCCUUUCAAAGGUGUUAAAUGAGGCACAUCGUGCAGCAGCCAUCUGGAUGGCUUCCUGCCUUUCCGUCUCUGCUGGGAGAAGUGCCUGCUUAUUGUCUCCAGUAGUAAUAUGAGCGGCUCUUCUCUCUCCCCCUGCUCCCCAUUCUGUGGGAAUUGCUUCUUCUGUGGAGCCCUGCCAGGGGCUGUUUACAGCAAAACCACCAAACCCUCAUUGGCUUCCAGAUGGUUUUGCUUCCAAAUACAUCUUCCCUUGCAGACGAUGACAAGGUGAUCUCUUCAGCAGGUGAGUUUAGUUCAUGUGUAGGGACUCUAUCCUUUCUACAGCAAAUGUCUGAGGGUAACUUAACAAAAUAAUGGUGCUAAUAAUGACAGCAUUAAUGAUAAUAAAUGCUGACACUGAUUGACUCUUACCAAGUGCCUGGACCAGUGCUAAGCCCUUGUAAGGGGAUCAGUCUCACUUAACAAGUGAGCCCUUAGUUAGCAGGUCAGGAAAGUGAGGCUUAACCCCUAAGUAAUCAGCCCGGGUGCCACAGCUAGUAAGUGGCAGUCCAGAAUUAGAGCCCGGGCAGGUGCCCCAGAACCACGCCUUUAACUACUGCUGUCGGCUCUGUCUUGUCAGGGUCCUGCAGCCCUGGGAAAGAGGCGCCUGUGGUAGUGUGCCCAAGGUGAGGUCCCUGCCUUCACGGAGCACACGGACCAGAAUCAGUUCCCAGCCUACCUUUCCUCUUCCCCUCUUCCAGGCAAGUGCACACGGAAUGGCAGCAGGAGAGUUCUAUCCCUGAUCAUCAAAAAGCUUGAUAAUGUAGUCAAAUGGAGCAGAUGUUAGGCAAAAACGUUCAUGUAUGUUCUGUACACUAUAUAAUUUCCCUCUCCCUGUUGUCCCGGAAUCUGGGAGAUGUCCCAUCUGUUUACAUUCCAAAUUUUUUCCCUAAUUUUUGUUUCUGGAAUGAAAGGGUUAAACCCAGACUUGGUAGAACUUAUUACUUUAAUCCAGGAUUAUGAUAGCUGUGGAAAGAGGUCACUCUGCCCUUUGACCUCCCUGGCUAGAAGAGAAAUGAUGGUUGUCCUGACUUGAGAUCUCGUCCUGCCUGGCUAUGAGGGGAGCUGAGGUCCGAGCUAAGCCGUCUCUCCACCAGGAGACUGGCUUAGGUGGACACCAGAGGGCGAGGGGGCCACAUGCUGCCUUUUGUCCUUGGGAAUCAGUUUAGGAUGCUAAUGUUUAGAGGGAUAGAGGGAUGGGCAGGAAUACUCACGUGAAACUAAUUGCCACCAAAUCAGCUCUUUGUAGGCACUGCUGCUCUUUGGGGCCAAAUAUCUGUGGUGUCAACCCCCAGGGAGAGGAUCUCAAAGUCCCCAUCCCACUCUGAGGUACACCAGACUACCCAGACUCACAGGGUAGCAGUGUGAAUCCUCUCUCCUACCCAAGUCCCGCUGCUUACAGAUGGGGAAACAGGCCCAGGGUGAACUAAACUCAGCCACUUUAUCCCUUUGCCUUACCUGCUGAGCUAAUGAGGCCCAGAUAGGCAAGCUUUCAAGAGAGUGGCGAACGCUGGCUAUUCUUAGGCAGAAUUGCCUUUACCUGGUAGGAAACUUGCAGGAAAUCUGCAGGAGAAGUGUGGGAGCUGGGAUUGUAGGUUAUAGUCCACGAUGGGAAGGGCUAGGCUCUAGGGCUGUGUGCCCUUGGCAGAGGCCAUGGUCAGAUUAUAAACUGGGAAGUCUUCCUCAGAUGGAAGAGUCUGAACCCGUCUGCCUAGCAGUGGUGGCACCUCUUGGGUGGGCCAGCAGGAUGCAGUGCUGGGAGGUGGGCAGUUAGGCUGGGACGGCUACAACCCCCUGCAGCAUGGCACCUGCUUGCCCCCCACUUCUUGGGAGAAAGACCACCAGGCUUGCCUGCCCUGCUGACCUUCUCUGCUCUCUGUGAAGGUGGCUGCCACACUCAGCUGCUACUGCAUGGAUACCUCCAGGCACUCAAAAAGCCCUGCUUUUCUAAUCAGUGAAGAAACCAGCUUUGUCUGCCAGGAACCAAAGCAGAGCAGCUGAUGGAAAAAAAAAAAUUUAACAGCUCCGUGUAGAGGGAGCAGAAAGGAAACAGCGAAGCUGGAAAAUGGCUUAAAAACCUGGGGGCAAGGCCAGUCCUGGCAGCAUCUGGCCAGCUGCCUGGGGGCCCUCCUGCCUGCCCACUGGGUCUUGUGACAAAUGCCCUCUGACAGCCGAGGAACCACAGCUGUCACUGGAAGGCGCGGGCCGGCAGCCAAAGGCCCGCGGCUGCAGGGGCGUCUCCCGGGCUGGGAACCUCAUUAUCUCUGCUGUUGGCGCAGGAGCCCCAGGGGGCACAGCUGCUCUCAGCAGUGUGCUGCAGGAGCUGCCGGCUCGGAGGGCUGUGUACAGGGAGGCCUAUCCUGCCAGAGGAGGCUCCACGGGGCAGCAGGCCUGGAGAUUCACUGUCACAUCACUCCAGUAAACACUCCUGGUUCCAGAACUGUGCCUGGCCCUGCCAGGGUUCAGAGGCACAGAUGGUGCCUUUAUUCUAGCAGUUCUUUUUUUCCUUGGGCCCCCAAAGCAGGAUUAGGUGCAAAUGAUGAAUGACUGGAAAAAGAAAGAAACAAGGACACAAUCAGACUGCCCAGAGCUUGUCUGAGGAAGGACAAGGAGGUCUGAGAGUUGUGGCAUUUUCCACUCAUGUCUCUGUCAUCCAGGAAACUACUUGCUAUUUUCCACCUGUCAGGAUGAGGCCCCUUUCUUCAGGUGAUAUAUGGGGUGGAUAAUGCGUGGGCUUGUGCAGGCUGCAGUUCAAGUUUGAGCCCCCGCUGAGCCUCCACAUUCCUGAGUUCUCUUUCUGUGGAUCCUGGUAAGGAUGGCCCAGUGUUUGUGAUAGUGAGGACGGGCAGUCACAGGGGAUGCUGAAGUGCCAUUGAAGAGUCUGUCUAACUCUCGCCACGAACACCCUCUGCACCCGGGGAGGGGAGGGGAUGCAGGAUGUGGGAUGGAUGCUGGAGGCAGUGGGACUGGCUGUCGUCUGCCCUGCUCACGAUUGAUGUCCAACCUUGAGCACGGUGCCCAAGGCCCCUCUGCUUUGGAACACCCUCAUCUGUCGGGGGAGCACCUGCCCUCGGCCCAUGGAGAGAAACGUGUUGGUGGGGGGGCCAUGGAGCUGCUGUCAUUGCUGUCACCCGGAGCUGGCUGUAUGUUACUGUCCCGGAGAUGGUUUUGAAAAGCGGCUGCUGUCAUUUUCUGUAGCUCUGGACUGGCAGGGGCAGGGGCAGUGGCACCUCUGGUAGGUGGUGAGGCCUGGUAAAGGACCUUUAUUAUUAUGAAAAUCAAGCCAUUUGCUGACUUGCUGUGGGUCCACCUUAAUAUCUCCCAGGCCUCAAUUGAUGCCUGAUGUGUUUGGAUCAGGGCUGAGGCAAGAAAACACCAGGACUUAGAAAAAUGUCGUUCCCCCACAGGAGCAGAACUGUGAUGGGCAGAGCCCUGAUUCCUUGUGUUUGUGGUGGGAGCUCAGGGUGGUGCUGUGUGAGCUUGCGUGGGUAUGUGCAAGUGCAGGGAGACAGAAGGAGAGAGGGAGGUGGAGCAUGGAAGACCAUCUGGCUGGGCACAGGCCCAGCCCAACAACCCUGGGCCCUUUUCUCCCCUCCUCCCAGAUAACUCCUGCUGUCUGCCAUGGGAAGGAACAAUAGAAUAAUAACCUGGAAACUCCUCUACCCUUUUCUAGAUACACCUGAGGUCUCUCCCUGCAGCCCCUGAGCAGAUGUCCAAAGUGGGCCAGCUCCCUAGACCUGUCUGGAGUCACUCGGGGGCCAUAUCCCGGUCCCAGGCCCCAGGCUGGGUGCCAUCUGUGUGGAAGCCAGACGAGGAAGGUGGCACAUGCAGGGCUUUUCUGGCACAGCUGUGCUCGACACUGUUAAAGCCCUCCUAAUCCAUGUUAUUUGUUUCUAAUCCCUCUCCCACCUCUCUGGCCUGCGUGCCACUCUGCAGGACCUUUGGUCCCAAGUCGGAGCCUGUACUGAGCCCCAGGCAUGAGAAGGCCACGCAUCUGCUGCGGCAUGCCCGCAUGAAGGCCAGGACCCAGCCUCUCCGUGCCAGCCAUGAGAUCAUGCCCACCAUUGCCCAGGGCAGCCGAGAUGGUGGGAGAAGCCCAGCCUUGGACCCGAGAAUGACCUUUGCCUUCAGAGACAAUCUCCAGAACGGGAAUACGAGUGACUCCUCCAGCGGAGAGUCCAGCAGCGGGCAGUGGCCCAAGCCCGGCACCUCGCCAUCCCACGUCCGCUUUGAGGACGAGUCGGCCUGUGAUGCCGAGUCCCGCUACCUGGAGAGGCUGCAGCAGCGCCAGCGCCAGGUGCUGAGCUCUGCACUGCAAAGGGUGGAUCCGGGCCCCCUGCGCUGCAAGCCCAACCUUGCCCACUACAUAAGUGGGGGCUGCCGGUGCAGGGACGCAGGCAAAGGGCCCCUUUGCAGGCUUGUGGGCAGCCAGGACCAGAGGGGCCUCCUGGCACCGCCUCCCGCCCCGGGCAGUGAGGGGAAGUGCUGUGCCUGCAGCAGCCGCAUGGAGGACCCACACCUUGGCCAGGGGCAGGCACCCCCAGGUCCUCGGGUACUCCAGGAACGUGAGGCCGCCUGUGGGGUGGAGGAGGUGCAAGUGGAGCCCCUCAGCUCUUGGGGCCCCAGCACCCCAGUGAGGCUCCUCCCUGCUGAGCAGGGGCUCCACACGGAACGCAGCCAGGAAACGCACAUUGGCCACCCACUGCACCCCGAGGAAGUGGACUCUGUCCUGGACAGCACAGACACCUCCGACAGCUGCAGGACCGACAGUGAGGAGGUGGGGACCCCUCAGCCCGGCAAGGCCAGCCGCCCUCGCCUGCGGGGCUCCAGGCCUCGAGGAGGCCCCAGGAAGUUCCGAAAGGCAGAAACAGAGCUGCCGGGGAUCCCUCAGGCCCUGUGCUACUUGUCUGCAGUUGAUCACCUGGAGGUUGGAGAUAAGGGGCAAGAGGGCAGAGGGCAGAUGCCUGAGGGGACUCUGUUUCCCAGAGGAGAUGCCUUCUCAAGGCCUCCAGCCCUGGAAUCUAAAAGGGCUUCCCUGGGGUCCCAGUGGCAGCCUGGACCAGGACUAGGAAGUCACCGUGCUCAGCCCGUGGAUUUCCGGGCUCCGUGCUGGGCAGCCUUUGCCACGACCUCUUGCAUGAAGUUGGGAUCCUCAGGGCCAGGCAGACAAGCCCAGGGUAGAGAAAGCCACCUGUCUCUGGAAACUGUCUGCACUUCCUCCCAACAGACCCAGGCAGAGGUCUGUCAGGCCCAGCAGCCAACCGCUUCCCUCACCCCUGACGACUGGGUGCCAGCCUCACCCUCUUUGAGGAAAACCACUUCACCCGUGUCUCAUGGGAAGGCAGCCCUGGCCGGACCCUGCAGGCUGGGUGACCAGGGAGAGCUUGUGGACACUCCCGUGCCUCCUUCAAGAAGUGUGGUUCUUGGGACCUGUGAACUCGACUCCCUGCAGGCCCAGCCCAGCAGCCCCCUGGUCAGGCACCCACUGCUGGCCUUGUCCACCACCAACUGCAACAACAGUGGGCCCUCUGCGCUGCAGGAGCCCUGGGGAGGAGCCACGCCUGGGGGCAGGGUGGAGAAGGGCCCCUGCAGCCAGGAGCCGGAGCUGCCCCUAGAGAACCGCAGAGAUGGAGGACUCCGGAGCUUUCUGGGCUCAGCAGCUGUUGGCACCACCAACCCCAUGAGCAUUACCCUCUCCCUGACCUCAGAGGAGCCAGAGUCCGGCCAGGAACCAGAGGGAGGCCUGCAGAGGACAGAAUUGAGUUCUGGAGGGCAUGUGUCAUCCCGGUCCUGCAAGCACGCCAUCGCCCCCAUGGUCUCAAGCCCCAGCUCGGGGCGUUUCCUUGGCUGCUUCCUCCUCUCCUGCUCCUGGCUCCCAGCCCCUGCCUGCUCUCAGUCUUCACUCUUGCCUCUACAGUUUCUUGCCUACAUAGCCUCACCAGGGGUCAGUGCAGGAGCUGGCGCACCCUCAGCUGUCCCUUCCAGCAGGAACAAGAAAAGCAGCAGCCUCACCUCCACCCUGGGGCUGAAAAAGCUCUUCUUGGCCCUGGGCCAGGGCACGAGGCCCAGGUUGGGCAAGACCUAUAGCUACAGUGUGGAGCAUCUGCAGCCCCCUGCACCUGGCCUGGCUUCUCACACCAGCACCCCCAAAGUGAAGAGAGCCCCGUCAUUACAAUUCCUGCAUCUGAGGAAACUCAGGUUGACGGCUGGAGUCAGGUUUCUAUCAACCUCUUGCCAGGUGGCGUUUCUCACCUGCAAUACUGGACCUUUCCCACCAGGGGUCACCCUCCAGCCAACAUCGGAAAGCUGCCUCCUUUCAGAACCUCCAUUCUCUGCUGAGCGGCAAGGUGGACCCGUCCAGCCGCUACCUGGUAGGGGAGCCAGGAGAGCACAGUGCAGCUGGCCGGCCAUCCAGGGCCCCGCCCCGGCGUGCCCUCAGCGUGGAGGACGUGAGCGCCCCCAGCCUGGCUCGCACCGUGGGACGCGUGGUGGAGGUGUUCCCUGAUGGCACAAGCCAGCUGCUGCUGCAGCGCUCCCCCAACGGCACUUUUGGCUUCUGUGUGGCCUCUGGGGCCGGACGCCGGGACUCAGGCCAUCCUUCAACAAGCGGAGGGUCACUUCUCCUGGGUCUCAGAGGGGCCGUGAGCUGAGGCUGGUUUGCAUUCCUCACUAAAACAUCGAGAUGCUGGUGUUCAGUUGCUGGCUGUCACAUCUGAUUCUGUGAAGCAUGUGAGAACCGCAGGCUUUGCCUUCUGCUACUAACUCCAUACAACGUAGAGAUCAUGCAGCCUUAACAAAGGCAUUUCCAGCAGACAAUAAAUGCCUACAUGAGCAGUUUCUGUCGUAUUUCUGUCAUGACUUUUAGUUGUGAAACCCACCCCGAGUCUCCCCAUGUCUGGCAUGACAUCAGCGUCUGUCUAGCUCUGGCUGCAUUCUUUAGGGUUUCUCACUGCUCUCCACCUGCACAGCCCGUCCACAAUAGCAGCUGACUCUGCAGGCUCUGCCCCUCGCGUCCUCACCCGCCUCCCCAACAUGCGGACAGGGUGGGCAGACAGUUAAAACACCCAGAUACAAAAGGCAAAAGGCAGGAGCUGAGAGAACAGCCCUGUGCCACCAAGAUGGAGGACUUGCCAUAUUAUGAGGGAGACAGCCUUGCAGGAGAGCUCAGCCUGGCCAAGGAGCACUGGAAGGGAGCCAGGGAGGGGGGAAGUGUCCAAAGAUCAGAUUUGCUAAACCCAGAACUACAAACCUUCAGGUGCUUUGGGGAGCUUUCAAUGCACUUGCAAAUCAAAAUUUCACUCAAAUUUACUAAACCCAGAGCUACAAACCUUCAGGUGCUUUUGGGAGCUUUCAAUGCACUUGCAAAUCAAAAUUUCACUUUUCUGUUAGGGCCAGAAGCUGGGCUGAACAAAAGCUUCUAUGGGGCUGGGUGGGCUGGAGAGAUGAUGGCCGACUAGUCAGAGCCAGCGAGCCUGAGCUGGGGAGCAAUGAGGGGCCCCAGGCAGUACUUAGCUCUGGGUGAGCUCUGCAGGUGUCCAGAGCUGCAUGUCCAUCUGUAUGCUGCACUCCUCCAGGGAGCUGGCCAUGGGCUCUCAGAUCCCUCUGUUCAUGAGCAGCUGGGGGAUAGGCCGGGGGGCCAGCUUUCCCUGCAAGAGCCUGAGCCUCCUUUAAUCUCAGGUGGAAGCAGCUGAAGGGGAGUUUGAAACAAUUUAGCUGAAGUUGAGGCUAGAGGGACUCCCUCAGCUGGUCUCCACUGUGUCACCAGGAGAGCCCAGGGGAACUCGGCCUCACCAGACCGAGGCCCCCCAGAGCCUGCCCCACUGAUGGGUGCCCCGAGCUGGACGGGGGCAAAGAGGAGAAGCAGGUUGUCUCCAGACUCACACUGUCCCUUAGAGACCUGGGAAUGGUCAUACUGGCCAGGCAGGGCCUCAGGGGUCAGUGGUGGGGAGAUGCUGGGUGAAGAAAGGAAAGUGAGCCACCAUGGCUUUCAAUAGGGCAGAAGAAUUUUUAUGUUUUCUGGGCUCUUGCCCAGAUGCCUCCAAAUCCCAAGUGUGGAAGACAUAUCAGAGGAAAACUGAGGCCAGGACUAGUCUUAGACAAUAAUAUGAAGCAAACCAGGUUUGCAUUUGAGCUCAGCCACAUUCGGUACCCCAGUGAUACCCUCCCACCACGCCAGCUACUUGGGGGCAGCAACUGGGCCUCGUUAGUGAAUCCCACUUAGCACAGUGUCAGGCAUGCACUAGGUCUCUUUUACUUUUGUAAACAUUAUUUUCUUCCCUAUUCUACAAUCAAAGCUUAUCUCAGAAAAAGAUCAGCUCAUUCACACUAGGGUAGACAUGAAUAAUAAUACAGCUUAAAGCAUUAUUUUUGCACUAGGGAGAUUUUAAAAGAGGAGCUCGAGAAAUGAAGUUACACCAUGGGGGUGGUUGUAAGGCCAGCUGUAAUUGUGAGGUGGAAUAAUGAGUGAGUGAGUGAAUGAGUGAGUGAGUGAGUGAGUGAGUGAGUGUGUGUGUGUGUGGGUGAGUGAGUGAGUGAGUGAGUGUGUGUGUGUGUGUGUGUGUGUGUGUAGAAGGGCCCUGUCUGAGCACCUGCCCCCACCAUUACUUGGUCAGCAUUCCACAGAGAUGCAGGUCUUCAAUCUGGAUUUUAUGUUGAAUUCUCCUGUUUUCCA
Molecule: non-coding RNA, 9803 nt
Organism: Manis javanica (Malayan pangolin)
Lineage: Eukaryota; Metazoa; Chordata; Mammalia; Pholidota; Manidae
Source: RefSeq, a predicted model, not a curated record